This 408-nucleotide ribosomal RNA is filed under the name uncultured bacterium. RNAcentral describes it as "partial 16S ribosomal RNA". It matches the Rfam family "Bacterial small subunit ribosomal RNA", at positions 28 to 526 of the family's 1533-position model. The record is from RNAcentral.
GACGAACGCUGGCGGCGUGCUUAACACAUGCAAGUCGAACGAAGUGGCGAACGGGUGAGUAAUACGUGGGUAACCUGCACUCCUUUUUGGGAUAAGCCUCGGAAAAGGGGUCUAAUACCGAAUAAAGGGGGAUGGUCUCGCGGCUUAUGAGCUUGUUGGUGGGGUGAUGGCCUACCAAGCAGGUGACGGGUAGCCGGCCUGAGAGGGUGAGCGGCGAGGUGGAACCGGAGAUACUGCCAAGCGACCUACGCGGGGAGACAGUGGGGGAUAUGGCACAAAGGGCGAAAGCCUAAUGCAGCGACGCCGCGUGGGGGAUGAGGGCUUUCGGGUUGUAAACCUCAUUCGCUAUCGAACGGGUAGGUGAAGAAGAAGCGACGGCUAACUACGUGCCAGCAGCCGCGGUAAUUC